Molecule: ribosomal RNA, 253 nt
Filed under: uncultured bacterium
Lineage: Bacteria
Description: partial 16S ribosomal RNA
Rfam family: Bacterial small subunit ribosomal RNA
Source: RNAcentral
UACGUAGGGAGCAAGCGUUGUCCGGAAUCAUUGGGCGUAAAGCGCGCGUAGGUGGCCCCAUAAGUCCGCUGUGAAAGUCGGGGGCUCAACCCUCGGAUGCCGGUGGAUACUGUCGGGCUCGAGUACGGAAGAGGCGAGUGGAAUUCCUGGUGUAGCGGUGAAAUGCGCAGAUAUCAGGAGGAACACCAAUUGCGAAGGCAGCUCGCUGGGACGUUACUGACGCUGAGACGCGAAAGCGUGGGGAGCAAACAGG